UACGUAGGGGGCUAGCGUUGUCCGGAAUCAUUGGGCGUAAAGCGCGCGUAGGCGGUCAGGUAAGUCCGGUGUGAAAGUCAAAGGCUCAACCUUUGAAUGCCGCUGGAUACUGCUUGACUUGAGUCCGGAAGGGGCGAGUGGAAUUCCUGGUGUAGCGGUGAAAUGCGCAGAUAUCAGGAGGAACACCAAUGGCGAAGGCAGCUCGCUGGAACGGUACUGACGCUGAGACGCGAAAGCGUGGGGAGCGAACAGG
RNAcentral lists this ribosomal RNA (253 nucleotides) under uncultured bacterium. RNAcentral describes it as "partial 16S ribosomal RNA". It matches the Rfam family "Bacterial small subunit ribosomal RNA", at positions 524 to 776 of the family's 1533-position model. The record is from RNAcentral.